Molecule: ribosomal RNA, 253 nt
Filed under: uncultured bacterium
Lineage: Bacteria
Description: partial 16S ribosomal RNA
Rfam family: Bacterial small subunit ribosomal RNA
Source: RNAcentral
UACGUAGGGUGCAAGCGUUGUCCGGAAUUAUUGGGCGUAAAGGGCUCGUAGGCGGUCUGUCACGUCGGGAGUGAAAACUCGGGGCUUAACCCCGAGCCUGCUUCCGAUACGGGCAGACUAGAGGUAUGCAGGGGAGAAUGGAAUUCCUGGUGUAGCGGUGAAAUGCGCAGAUAUCAAGAGGAACACCUGAGGUGAAGACGGGUUGCUGGGCUGACACUGACGCUGAGGCGCGAAAGCCAGGGGAGCAAACGGG